RNAcentral lists this small nuclear RNA (175 nucleotides) under Saimiri boliviensis boliviensis (Bolivian squirrel monkey). Its description in RNAcentral is "U4 spliceosomal RNA (ENSSBOG00000003221.1)". It matches the Rfam family "U4 spliceosomal RNA". Rfam says of the family: U4 small nuclear RNA (U4 snRNA) is a component of the major U2-dependent spliceosome. Lineage: Eukaryota; Metazoa; Chordata; Mammalia; Primates; Cebidae. The record is from RNAcentral.
AGCUUUGCGCAGUGGCAGUAUCGUAGCCAAUGAGGUUUAGCCAAGGUGCAAUUAUUGCUAAAUGAAAACUUUUCCCAAAACAGAGCCUAAGGUUACAAAAACAGCAAAAAUUUGCCUAUGGGUUGAGGGUUCAGGGAUGGGUUUGCAUGGCAAAUUUCUGAAUUCUCACUAAAUA